CACGUAGUUAGCCGUGGCUUAUUCAAGGGGUACCGUCUUCUGCUCUUCCCCCUUAAAGGAAGUUUACAACCCGAAAGCCUUCUUCCUUCACGCGGCGUUGCUGGGUCAGACUUGCGUCCAUUGCCCAAUAUUCCCCACUGCUGCCUCCCGUAGGAGUCUGGGCCGUAUCUCAGUCCCAAUGUGGCCGGCCAACCUCUCAGUCCGGCUACUGAUCGUCGCCUUGGUGGGCCGUUACCUCACCAACUAGCUAAUCAGACGCGAGGCCAUCUUCCAGCGAUAAAUCUUUGACAUGUCUGUGAUGCCACAGUCAUGCGUCAUGCGGUAUUAGCAGUCGUUUCCAACUGUUGUCCCCCUCUGGAAGGCAGGUUCCUCACGCGUUACUCCACCAGUCCGCCACUAAGCAACUCAAUCCAUUGUCCGAAAACUCUUUUCAUGAGCGCUCCGUUCGACUUUGCAUGUGUUAAGCACGCCGCCAGCCGUUCGUCCUUGACGCCGAGGAUCGUAAA
RNAcentral lists this ribosomal RNA (506 nucleotides) under uncultured Oscillibacter sp. RNAcentral describes it as "partial 16S ribosomal RNA". The record is from RNAcentral. Lineage: Bacteria; Bacillati; Bacillota; Clostridia; Eubacteriales; Oscillospiraceae.